Long non-coding RNA from Gallus gallus (chicken), 1661 nucleotides. The record is from Ensembl. NCBI's taxonomy places the organism in Eukaryota, Metazoa, Chordata, Aves, Galliformes, Phasianidae.
AAAGGAGCAGCUGAAGUGCCUGAGCAAAGAUUCGCUCCCAAUCUGGUCCACACCAACGUCUGCACUUUGCAAGGACAAAGGAAGUCCCCUAUGUACCUCAGAGGAACUUUCAUGUUGCAUCUAUCAUGACAUUCCUCAUCUCAGUGCCUAUCAGUCUCACCUCGGUGCCAGGGGAGGUCACGGAACGGAUAAUCUCGGGAACCAUCAUGGACCAACUAAAGGUCAACCAGGGGAUCAGGCCCAGUCAGCAUGGGUUUAUGAACGUCUGUUCCUUUGUUCAGGUUCUGUGAAGGAGGAGGCGUUCCCACAGAGGGACGUCUUCCCCCACAUCUUGAGCCAUGCCUGGAGAAGGACAGCUGCCUCUCACUUUGGACACAGCUCCACCCAGGUGAUAAUGGCAGGCAAAGACAGCUAUUUCCUUUCUAUUUCUGGUAGAAACCCCAUCCUGCUUGUGCUUACAAUUUACUUGCCUUUACUUCCCUUUGUCUCUGCUUUCACACUUCUUGAAGACUUAGAGGCACAAUUUGUCCUAUAAAUGGAGUCUCUGUGGAUCUACAUUCCCUGAUGUUCACCUGUACUCUAUAUUUAUAUUGAAACUUUUAUGGCACCUAAAAGAGCCAAGCACUUUUGGAAAGCAUUCUUUACCACAUGCCUUUGCACAGUUCAAAUGCCAAGGGAAGAUGCCUGGUGUGUGGAAGGAGUUAACUGCUUGUCAGACAGAUACAGACCUUCUAGCACAGCCAGAAACAGUUCUUGACAAUAUUAAACUUUGAUUUUCCUCUUUUUAAAAAACAAACAACCAAACAAACAAAAAACUCCAUUCCCUUUCCUUUCAAGGCCACUUGGCUAUGGUUCUUGAUCUUCUCUUUCUGACCAGCCACCGUUGAAUUCAUAAGGGUUCAUAGAGGCCACAUUGGAGAAGAAAUCCUAUUGAAAGCCACUUUCAUCUGCAUUUGCCUUUAAGUGGUAUGUAGAAAAUUAGUUAGUCAUGUGUGAGGAGAAAAGCUAACAUCUCUUGUAACUAAGCAGUUGAAUGCUCUAUAUACCUGGGCAAACAGAGUGUAGAAGCUGCAAAUAACCACCUAUGCCUGUGUAAUAACUUCAAGUUUUCAACUUUCAUGGCCACUCAUCAGUGUUUGUGGAACAUUCCUAGAGCAUAUGGUAACCUUUAGCCCAGCACAAACCUUCAGAAACAAGUGCAGAAACUCUGUUAAUUCCGUAUGGGGCAUAUGGUUAAUAUUACAACCUGAUGGAGCUCUUUUCUUGUUUGUUUGUUUGUUUUUGCUGUAAGUACAUCUGAAUUCAUCAGCUCUCACUCAGUAUCAGCCUUAGUGUUGCUUGAAGAAUGAUGUUGAUACUGAAAUCCAACGUCUCAUCCACAAGACUGCCACAGAUAGGGUUCUCAUUAUGCUGGAUGCAGUGUGAACAUUUCAAAAGAACCAGUUCCUGCCCCACGACGUGCUUGCCAUCCAAAAAAACACCACAGAACAAGGGGAGGGAGCAGAGGCCGGGAGCGGUCCUGCGGAGACUUGUGUGAGCUGACGCAUCCUCAAUAGGACCAGAAGUCCUUGGCUGCGUUGCCUCCCUCACUUGCUGUGUUCCCAGGGUUGGUUGUUAUUUUAAAAGUUUGUGAACCAUCUGCAUGUAUAAAAGAACAAAUC